UCACAAACGACUCUCGGCAACGGAUAUCUCGGCUCACGCAUCGAUGAAGAACGUAGCAAAAUGCGAUACUUGGUGUGAAUUGCAAAAUCCCGUGAACCAUCGAGUUUUUGAACGCAAGUUGCGCCCGAAGCCAUCCGGCCGAGGGCACGCCUGCCUGGGCG
Molecule: ribosomal RNA, 161 nt
Filed under: Hieracium managettae
Lineage: Eukaryota; Viridiplantae; Streptophyta; Magnoliopsida; Asterales; Asteraceae
Description: 5.8S ribosomal RNA
Rfam family: 5.8S ribosomal RNA
About the family: 5.8S ribosomal RNA (5.8S rRNA) is a component of the large subunit of the eukaryotic ribosome. It is transcribed by RNA polymerase I as part of the 45S precursor that also contains 18S and 28S rRNA.
Source: RNAcentral